CCUUCGGGUGGCAGCAGUGAGGAAUAUUGGUCAAUGGGCGCGAGCCUGAACCAGCCAAGUAGCGUGAAGGAUGACUGCCCUACGGGUUGUAAACUUCUUUUAUAAAGGAAUAAAGUGAGGCACGUGUGCCUUUUGUAUGUACUUUAUGAAUAAGGAUCGGCUAACUCCGUGCCAGCAGCCGCGGUAAUACGGAGGAUCCGAGCGUUAUCCGGAUUUAUUGGGUUUAAAGGGAGCGUAGAUGGGUUGUUAAGUCAGUUGUGAAAGUUUGCGGCUCAACCGUAAAAUUGCAAUUGAUACUGGCAGCCUUGAGUACAGGUGAGGUAAGCGGAAUUCCUGGUGUAGCGGUGAAAUGCGUAGAUAUCACGAAGAACACCGAUUGCGAAGGCAGACUACUAAACUGCCACUGACAUUGAUGCUCGAAAGUGUGGGUAUCAAACAGGAUUAGAUACUCGAGUAGUC
This 459-nucleotide ribosomal RNA is filed under the name uncultured bacterium. Its description in RNAcentral is "partial 16S ribosomal RNA". It matches the Rfam family "Bacterial small subunit ribosomal RNA", at positions 338 to 795 of the family's 1533-position model. The record is from RNAcentral.